UUUUUAACUUUAUACCAAACACAUCCUUAGUUGAGCAUUGAAAUGUUUUUUGAUAGCAUAAAGUCUAUUUAACUUGUUGACUGACAAUGUUGAUCCUUUUCAUGGCCAAAAAUUAAUGCUAAAUUGCAUUGCAUGAACUAAAUGUGAAACUCUAAAGGUGAAGUUGAUUUGUUUGUUCCUAUAUUUUUAGUGUGGAAGUGAGGAUGCAAAUCUUCUUGAAGAUCUAAUACUUGGUGCCUUAUCUUUUAUAUUGAAUACAGUUGUUCUACACUGGCAAUAUAAUUGCAGAAGGAAAACCUUGAAUAUCAAUUAAUAGAUGAAGUCAAUUAGGACGUGCUAUUAGCUUGAAGUUUUUGUGGAGAGUGUGUCAACUUUCUCUUUUACCAUUUCUUAGUUUCUAGGUUAAAGGUGCCUUUGCUGUCACUGAGAAGGAGAUUGUUGGUUCAGCCUUGGCCAUGGCAGGACGAUUGUGGAAUUUAGGAGGUACCAUGCUUUGUAGCUCAUCAUUUUGGCUAAUCUUCUGAAGGGAUUCUAUGCAUGGGACUUCCCUCUUGUAGGCUUUGGGAGGGUUAAAUGUAUGCAACUCUUCCUCUUGCUUUGCAAGGAAGCUGUUGCUGUGGGUUGAACCUGUGAACUCUGGGUCAUAAUAAAGCAACCUUACUAUUACACCAAGGUUCACCCUUGUGGCUAAACUUUAAUUGGGAAAAAAAGCAGUAGAACAUAAAAAAGUGAAAACUGUGCAGAGUAACUGAGCAAGAACUUGUGCUUGCAAAGUCUGCAGCUUUAUUGCAUUCUCCCUGUAUACAUAUGCAAUUUUUUGUUACAUGCCUAAGCUUUUACAUGGACACAAAAGUUCGUCAAGAAUAUCCUUUUAGCUUUUUUUAAUUGGUGAGGAGUAACUGAGUAAACUGUAUAAAUGAUUAAUUUUAAAAUUUAUCAGAGAGUAGGCAAGUGUGGCGUUAAGUUUUUCAUGUGAAUAGAUCCCCUCUCUCAAAUAGCCUUCGAUGUUCAGAUUUUCCAUAUUGAACUUUUACUAUGUUCUGAUAACAUGAUUCACUUAUUUUUCUGGAAUUUCUACCUGUUGUUUUGCUAUUUUAUUUGAUCAG
This 1106-nucleotide unclassified non-coding RNA is filed under the name Hevea brasiliensis (rubber tree). Lineage: Eukaryota; Viridiplantae; Streptophyta; Magnoliopsida; Malpighiales; Euphorbiaceae. The record is from RNAcentral.